CAGGAACAGAGGCUGGACAUUAACUUGGGAUGCAUGUGCUCUAUUGAGCAUAGAAUAGGGACUCAGCCCAUUUAUAGGCCUGUAAUACAGGAGUGAGUAUUUAGUCACAUCCUUUGCUGCAGAUAGAAGUGACAAAUCUUGGGAAAUUGGCUACUACUACUUACAACUCUGCAGUAUCCAAGCAGUUUCAGGAACUUUAAGGAAGAUCAAAUACCCAAGGGGCUGGAUCCUCUCCUGGUGUUAAUCAGCAUAGUUCCAUUAAGUCCCGUGAAACUAUGUCAAGUUCUGCUAUCUACGGAUAUGGCCCCAGGGUUUUAUAACAAGGGUCAGGGAAUUCCUAAUUAAUAUGAAAUUAAUGUUUGCUCCCAAAUUCUCUCUCAUAUACAAUACGCUCAAUUUUUCAGUGAAGAAUCAAGUUGACAUUUGGUAACUGCUUACAUAACAUACCAGGUCGGCUAUUGAAGCCAAUGGCAAAGCUCCCUUGACUGGUAUAAGAGCCGCGCAGGCUGACAUUUAUAAAAUCCGAGCAACACUUGAUUGAGCUGGAGAGGGCCUCUGGGGGUCUCACACAAGCCCCUGGUUGAAGUUUCCAGGCCUCAGAUUGUUUUUUUCCCCCUGUGGGGUUGGGACAAAGGAGCCACUAGUUCACCUACUCGUGAGGGCUGCCAGAGCUUUUACAAGAGGAACCUCACAUGAGUAAACCAGCUUCUGCACACUAGUGGCACCCGGAGGAAUGGGAGCUGGUGCCAGCAAAAGCUACAAGACAACCCCAGCUGCUGCUGAAAAAUACGGCUGGCAGCUCCAGAAGCUGAGGAAAGUUGCAUCUAGCAAGGGCUGGGAGGACAGGCAGUGUGGUGGACUGCUUGAGGACUGGGUGACAUGGCAGAGGCCUCCAGGCUGGCUGAACAAUGGCUAUAAGCAAACGCCUAGAGCUGACUGUGCCACUUAGAAAACUUCAGGGAGCAAAAGAUAUAAUGGUGACCUAAAAUUGAAAUUGACCCCCAUUUCUGCAAAGACUUUCACACAUGCUUGGCAUUAUGCCUCUCCCAGCACAACCGGACUCCAACCCUACAUAAGAUUUUUGGACACUAUUCAGAUGUUCCUAUUCAGGACCAGCUCCAGGAACCAGCGAAGGAAGCAGGUGCCUGGGGCGGCCAAUAGAAAGUGGCGGCACUCUGUCCGUGAUUGGGGCGGCACGUCCAGGUCUCUUCGACGGCAAUUCGGUGGCAGCUCCCCUUCUUCUUCUUCCAUGGCACUUCGGCGGCAGCUCAAUCAGAUUUUUCUUUUUCUUUUUCUGUUUUUUCUUCGCCGCUUGGGGCAGCAAAAAAGCUGGAGCCAGCCCUGUUUCUACUGAAGUAUCCACAGUGAUCUUUUCCUGAUCUGUUGAAGCCAAUUUAAGACUGAUCUGAGUGUAUGUGUAGUUUAAAUUUCUCCUUCCAAUGCUUUACACCUGACCUGUCUGCAUUAAAUUUUAUCUGCCAUCAAAUAAAACAUCCUGUUUAUCAGUUA
Molecule: long non-coding RNA, 1509 nt
Organism: Malaclemys terrapin pileata
Lineage: Eukaryota; Metazoa; Chordata; Testudines; Emydidae
Exons: 6
Source: RefSeq, a predicted model, not a curated record